This 1802-nucleotide unclassified non-coding RNA is filed under the name Hevea brasiliensis (rubber tree). Lineage: Eukaryota; Viridiplantae; Streptophyta; Magnoliopsida; Malpighiales; Euphorbiaceae. The record is from RNAcentral.
GUAAGUGUUCUUCUGCAUCAUUUAAUAUGGUUCAUCAAUUUCUUUCAACUGGUUCACUAAUUAUUUUGUAUGGCUUAGGAGUCCUUUAGAACUAUGUACGUAUGUGCUUCGAAGUUAGAAUGUGAAAAGAUAAAGUCAACUUUCUUGUUUGAGAAAGUCUUCUACUUCUUUAGUCAUUAGGAAGGAAAUUUGUGCAUUCUUUCAGAGUUUCUUUAUUGAGCUAGGGACUUCAAAAAGAUCUGUAUUGAAAUUUGCAAGAAGCAAAGGUGCAAGAAAUGCUUCUAGGUAGCUACUCUGAUAUAUCAGUCGAUUCUAGGUUUAUACAUGACAGCCUUCUCUUGCUGCUUUCCAGACCUUUUAGAUAGUGUGCAUUGAUAGAUACUUAUAUGCAACAUAAAUAUUUUUGUAGAUGAAGAUUGUAAUUCCCUAACUAAGGUAAAGGAAAAAUUGAGGACUAUUCAACUUUGCAUCUUCAUUUUUACCCUUGAAGAGAUAUUUCAUAGUUAUUUUGGUUUCUUACCAAAUCAUUUUUGUUUGUUAGUAUGGUGUUCCCCUUCCCAAUAGAAAGUUUAAAAAAAGUGGAGUUUUCUUCAGUUUUUGGUCGCGUUAAUAAAUUGAUGUAUGUGUUUUAAGGGUUUUUGGUUGAUGAAUUAAAUUUGGUGUAGCAUUAUUGCUAGAGUCAUUUUGGUUAGGCCAGAGCAUUAAUUUUUUUUAGAAUAUUGAAUUGACUUAAUUGCCAUUAUUGAUUAAAAUUAUAUUGGAAGGUAUUUUUUUAGAAAUGAAAUUGGAAUUUUCUUUUUCUCUUUCUUGCCAGAAAUCUCAUUUCAUUUUUCUAAGCAAAUGAAUUGAGGACCUAAAAUCAAGCCAUUAUUCAUUAUACUUAAAUAGGGCCCUAAACUCAAGCCAUUAAAGCUUUCAAACUGACAGUUCCAUACUAUGUUCAUAGGCCAUUGCAGGAUUAUCUAGCAAUUCCAACGAACUGAUUAAUUUCCUCUUUGAAAUCAAGAGGCCUAUGCCGUGUUCAUAGGCCAUAACAAGUUUAACUAGCAAUUCUGUAGAAUUAGUAAUUUCCUCGUGUUCUGCAAACUAAUGGGAGAUUCGUUAUUAUAAUAAUAAAAAUUACCUUGGAAAUUUUAAUUCUAGUGUCCAGCAUUAACAAUGGCAUAAUGAGAUGCCAUUGAUUAAGAAGACUAUAAAUUGAAUUUUAUGGAAACAAACCAUUUUUUCCUAUAGUAUGCAACAUUACAGUUUCAUUUUGAUUAAAUAGAAGAGGCAAUUAUGUCAAAUUACUGUAACAAAAAUGGCUCUAGCAAUAAUGCUACCCUAAAUUUAGAAGAGCAUAGAACAAUUUAAAUGAAGCUUGAGUGGAAUGGUGGUUGGAUGACUCUGUAACACCUUGUGGGUGCUAGGGUAGGUUUUAAGGUAUUUAGGUUUGUCAUCAUUGUUCAUCUCUAUGAUUUUAUGGAAAUGAGUAUCUAAUUAAGCUUGGGAGAUGAAGUAUUUACUUUUCUACAGCCAAUGCUUUUUUCUUUAAUAGUUGCUUGCUCUUUCUUUUUGAGUAUCAGACAAGAUUGACAUUGAUUUUGUUCUCAAAAAGAAUAUCAUGUAGUAACAAAAUUUAAUUUUUGCAAUGCCUUUUUUAGAUUUAGCAUUAAUUGGAGGUAUUGGGGCUUAAUUUUCUAACGCUUUUGCCGUAUUAGUGCAAACACAAUGAAUCUAUUGUAGAAAUAUAUCUAGGAAUUAAUUCACUGCCUCUCUGUUGCACUUCCAUUGACUUGACUAUUUGUUUUUUUUUUUUUUUU